Felis catus (domestic cat) is the source of this 1420-nucleotide long non-coding RNA. RefSeq lists it as uncharacterized. The record is from RefSeq and is a predicted model, not a curated record. The transcript is spliced from 2 exons. Lineage: Eukaryota; Metazoa; Chordata; Mammalia; Carnivora; Felidae.
GAACCCACGGACCGUGAGAUUGUGACCUGAGCUGAAGUCGGACGCUUAACCGACUGCGCCACCCAGGCGCCCCUAGGCCAUUUUAAAUAAUCCUUUCUUCUCUCUCCUCUAUUUAUAAAGCAAAUGGAAACUCGAGGGACAGCUGAUGACAGAGCAGCCCUGAGUGAAAAAGCCGAACACGCCCGGCUCGUCUGCCUGAGCUUUUGACCAUGGAGGGUACCUUAGAUAUAAGCCUGGCUUUUCCGACGUGCGAUCUUUACUGUGACGCCUCUGGCAACCUAGUUUAACUUCUCUGGCGCAAUUAUGAUUUUAUUCGGCCUGGUACCUGUGACUGAAAUAUAAAUUAAGUUCGGGAACACGAUGAAGGUGAUGGUGGUUGGACUUCAUCUAUACUGGCCGACGGGGCAUCGGCCAGGCGGGUGGGCACGCGGAGUGAGGGAGAAGGGCUGAGGUCUGACUUGUGUGUUGCUCUUGGGCCUCGUGGCUCUCAACUGCCGAGACACAUCCAGCUGGCCCCGACACAGCUGGCAGCGGAGUGCUCUGCAUGGGCUACGCACGGCUCUCUGGCAGCAGAAAACUUUACUUUCUUCAAAUGGCCCGGCAGGAAAGGAUGUUCGUAAUCCGCUUCCCCACCUUUUUUAUUUCUCAUUUUCCGCCUGAAGGAGAGGCUCACUGUCUGAAGACCUCAACAUGUAUGAAGAAAAGAAGGCAAAAAUAUCAAAGAAGAGAGGCAGAAAAUGAUCUCUGAAAAAAAGAAAACCCCAGGAAGAAAGCUGUCAUGUUCCGUGUUUCAACUUCACAAAAGAAUUCUGACUAGAGGCUUGAGCCUUUCAAAUCUCUUGUCAUUCAGGAUAUGAAAUUCUAAUCUAGCGGCAUGGCCAGUUGAGGCUCCGACUUAAUCAAAUAUGCUGACUAGCUGAAACAGGAGGUGGCUUCCUUUCCUUACUUCUGGUUUCCAUCUUUAGUUGGCUUCUCGCUUGCAAAUUAUGACAGUCACUUGCUGUGCAAGCAAUGAAAAUUCCAACGUAGGGGAGGAGAAUCAGUGGGCACCUAAUUGAGUUUUACUAGAUGAAAAGUUACAUCACCCUGCCUCACCUCAGUCUCCUCUGUCUUUAGGGAAUUGCUGAAUUUUAUAUAAAGCCUAUUUAUAAACCACUGCAAGUGAUACUUGCAUUCAUCUUGCACUGUGACAUCAUUUCCUCAUCAAUAAUUUAAGCAGAAGAAACGGAUUAAAGGGACUCUGAAGCGACUUCUCAUACAUGAAAAAACAGAAACCAGCUAAACUCUCCAAAAGAUUAAUUCGGGCGUCUUACCUUGUUCUUUGAUCUGACGAAUUUGCUUCACAGUUUCUUUUAAGAUUGCACAUUUGUCAGGUUUGAAGUUGAAGUUGUCUAUAUCAUUAAAAUUUGCAAAAAUCAGC